RNAcentral lists this ribosomal RNA (2925 nucleotides) under Ignatzschineria ureiclastica. RNAcentral's name for it is "bacterial LSU rRNA". It matches the Rfam family "Bacterial large subunit ribosomal RNA". Lineage: Bacteria; Pseudomonadati; Pseudomonadota; Gammaproteobacteria; Cardiobacteriales; Ignatzschineriaceae. The record is from RNAcentral.
UUAUAUGGUCAAGUGAAUAAGCGUACAUGGCGGAUGCCUUGGCGAUUACAGGCGAUGAAGGACGUGGAAGUCUGCGAAAAGUUUCGGGGAGCUGGCAAUCAAGCUUUGAUCCGGAAAUGUCCGAAUGGGGAAACCCGCACAGGCUUAAAACCCUGUCAUCCACAGCUGAAUAAAAUAGGCUGCUGGAAGCGAACCUGGUGAACUGAAACAUCUAAGUAACCAGAGGAAAAGAAAUCAAUUGAGAUUCCCGCAGUAGUGGCGAGCGACCCGGGAGUAGCCGAUAUAUGAUAGCUGUUUAUAUAGAAGAACCAUAUGGAAAGAUGGACCGUAGAGGGUGAUAGUCCCGUAUUCGAAAUGUAGACAGUGGUACUAGGUAUAUCAACAAGUAGGGCGGGACACGAGAAAUCCUGUCUGAACAUGGGGGGACCAUCCUCCAAGGCUAAAUACUCGUAAUCGACCGAUAGUGAACAAGUACCGUGAGGGAAAGGUGAAAAGAACCCCUGUGAGGGGAGUGAAAUAGAAUCUGAAACCGUGUACGUACAAGCAGUGGGAGCCCUUUUUAGGGUGACUGCGUACCUUUUGUAUAAUGGGUCAACGACUUACAUUCUGUGGCAAGCUUAACCGAAUAGGGUAGGCGUAGGGAAACCGAGUCUUAAUAGGGCGACCAGUCGCAGGGUGUAGACCCGAAACCAGGCGAUCUACCCAUGGCCAGGCUGAAAGUUAGGUAACACUGACUGGAGGGCCGAACCCACAUCUGUUGCAAUAGAUGGGGAUGAGCUGUGGGUCGGAGUGAAAGGCUAAUCAAGCUUGGAGAUAGCUGGUUCUCCCCGAAAGCUAUUUAGGUAGCGCCUCAUGUAAUUUACUUCCGGGGGUAGAGCACUGUUUCGGCUAGGGGGUCAUCCCGACUUACCAACCCGAUGCAAACUCCGAAUACCGGAAAGUAUUAUCAUGGGAGACACACAGUGGGUGCUAACAUCCAUUGUGGAGAGGGAAACAACCCAGACCGCCAGCUAAGGUCCCAAAAUUAUCGCUCAGUGGUAAACGAUGUGGGAAGGCAUAGACAGCUAGGAUGUUGGCUUAGAAGCAGCCAUCAUUUAAAGAAAGCGUAAUAGCUCACUAGUCGAGUCGGCCUGCGCGGAAGAUUUAGCGGGGCUCAAGCGAUAUACCGAAGCUGCGGAUGUGUAUUAUAGAAUAUAUGUGGUAGGGGAGCGUUCUGUAAGCCUGUGAAGAUGGACUCGUAAGAGCCGUUGGAGGUAUCAGAAGUGCGAAUGUUGACAUAAGUAACGUUAAUGCGAGUGAAAGACUCGCACGCCGAAAGACCAAGGUUUCCUGUUCAACGUUAAUCGGAGCAGGGUGAGUCGGCCCCUAAGACGAGGCAGAGAUGCGUAGUCGAUGGGAAUCAGGUUAAUAUUCCUGAACUCUCGUAUCAUGCGAUGGAGGGACGGAGAAAGCUAGACCAGCUGGUGAUUGGUAUGCCAGUGUAAGCAGGUAGGUAGAGAUCUUAGGCAAAUCCGGGAUCUUAAUACUGAGACGUGAAUGCGAGGAGCUUACGAGCUCCGGAGUGGUUGAUGCUAUGCUUCCAAGAAAAGCUUCUAAGCAAUAGUGAUAUGAGAACCGUACCCCAAACCGACACUGGUGGUUGGGAUGAGAAUUCUAAGGCGCUUGAGAGAACUCGGGUGAAGGAACUCGGCAAAAUCGUACCGUAACUUCGGGAGAAGGUACACCUUCCUAGGUGAAUGCUUUACGCAGUAAGCUAAGGAAGGUCGCAGUGAAAAGCUGGCUGCAACUGUUUAUCAAAAACACAGGACUCUGCAAACACGAAAGUGGACGUAUAGGGUCUGACGCCUGCCCGGUGCUGGAAGGUUAAUUGAUGGGGUUAGCGUAAGCGAAGCUCUUGAUCGAAGCCCCAGUAAACGGCGGCCGUAACUAUAACGGUCCUAAGGUAGCGAAAUUCCUUGUCGGGUAAGUUCCGACCUGCACGAAUGGCGCAAUGACGGCCAGGCUGUCUCCACCCGAGACUCAGUGAAAUUGAAAUCGCCGUGAAGAUGCGGUGUACCCGCGGCAAGACGGAAAGACCCCGUGAACCUUUACUAUAGCUUUACAGUGGAUUUUGAAUCUUUUUGUGCAGGAUAGGUGGGAGGCUUAGAAGCAGCGACGCUAGUUGUUGUGGAGCCAUCCUUGAAAUACCACCCUGAAAGAUUUGGAAUUCUAACUUAGGCCCAUCAUCUGGGCUAAGGACAUUGUAUGGUGGGUAGUUUGACUGGGGCGGUCUCCUCCGAAAGAGUAACGGAGGAGUACGAAGGUACCCUCAGCCCGGUCGGAAAUCGGGCUUAUGAGUGCAAAAGCAAAAGGGUGCUUGACUGCGAGACAGACACGUCGAGCAGGUACGAAAGUAGGUUUUAGUGAUCCGGUGGUUCUGUAUGGAAAGGCCAUCGCUCAACGGAUAAAAGGUACUCCGGGGAUAACAGGCUGAUUCCGCCCAAGAGUUCAUAUCGACGGCGGAGUUUGGCACCUCGAUGUCGACUCAUCACAUCCUGGGGCUGUAGUCGGUCCCAAGGGUAUGGCUGUUCGCCAUUUAAAGUGGUACGCGAGUUGGGUUCAGAACGUCGUGAGACAGUUCGGUCCCUAUCUGCCGUGGGCGUUGGAAAUUUGAGAGGAGCUGCUUCUAGUACGAGAGGACCGAAGUGGACGUAUCUCUGGUGUUCCGGUUGUCAUGCCAAUGGCAUAGCCGGGUAGCUACAUACGGACGGGAUAACCGCUGAAAGCAUCUAAGCGGGAAGCCUUCCUCAAGAUAAGAUUUCCCUAGGGGUUUAACCCCUCUGAAGGUCCGUCGAAGACUACGACGUUGAUAGGUUGGGUGUGUAAGUGCAGUAAUGCAUUGAGCUUACCAAUACUAAUUGACCGUGAGGCUUGACCAUAUAAUAG